CGGCGAGUGAAGCGGCAACAGCUCAAAUUUGAAAUCUGGCUUCGGCCCGAGUUGUAAUUUGCAGAGGAUGUUUCUGGCGCGGUGCCUUCCGAGUUCCCUGGAACGGGACGCCACAGAGGGUGAGAGCCCCGUAUGGUUGGAUACCAAGCCUGUGUGAAACUCCUUCGACGAGUCGAGUAGUUUGGGAAUGCUGCUCAAAAUGGGAGGUAAAUCUCUUCUAAAGCUAAAUACCGGCCAGAGACCGAUAGCGCACAAGUAGAGUGAUCGAAAGAUGAAAAGCACCUUGAAAAGGGGGUUAAACAGUACGUGAAAUUGUUGAAAGGGAAGCGCUCAUGACCAGACUUGUGCCGGGCGGUUCAUCCGGGGUUCUCCCCGGUGCACUCCGCCCGGUUCAGGCCAGCAUCGGUUUUUGCUGGGGGAUAAGAACGGUAGGAACGUGGCCCUCCUUCGGGAGGGUGUUAUAGCCUGCCGUACGAUACCCUAGCGGAGACCGAGGUUCGCGCUCCGCAAGGAUGCUGGCGUAAUGGUCAUCAGCGACCCGUCUUGAAACACGGACCAAGGAGUCGUCCAUUAGAGCGAGCGUUUGGGUGUAAAACCCGCACGCGUAAUGAAAGUGAAAUUAGGUGAGAGCUUCGGCGCAUCAUCGACCGAUCCUGAUGUUCUCGGAUGGAUUUGAGUAAGAGUUUUAACGGACGGACCCGAAAGACAGUGAACUAUGCUUGUAUAGGGUGAAGCCAGAGGAAACUCUGGUGGAGGCUCGCAGCGGUUCUGACGUGCAAAUCGAUCGUCAAAUAUGAGCAUGGGGGCGAAAGACUAAUCGAACUGUCUAGUAGCUGGUUACCGCCGAAGUUUCCCUCAGGAUAGCAGUGUUGACCUUCAGUUUUAUGAGGUAAAGCGAAUGAUUAGGGACUCGGGGGCGCUUUUUAGCCUUCAUCCAUUC
Molecule: ribosomal RNA, 940 nt
Filed under: Coniella peruensis
Lineage: Eukaryota; Fungi; Ascomycota; Sordariomycetes; Diaporthales; Schizoparmaceae
Description: eukaryotic LSU rRNA
Rfam family: Eukaryotic large subunit ribosomal RNA
Source: RNAcentral